This is a long non-coding RNA of Acinonyx jubatus (cheetah), 9396 nucleotides long. RefSeq lists it as uncharacterized. The transcript has 4 exons. The record is from RefSeq and is a predicted model, not a curated record. Lineage: Eukaryota; Metazoa; Chordata; Mammalia; Carnivora; Felidae.
UCAAUUAGAAACAAGGAAAGAGUGGGAGUGCCUGGGUGGCUCAGUCGGUUAGGCAUCUGACUCUUGAUCUCAACUCAGGUCGUGAUCUCAGGGUCAUGAGUUAAAGCCCCCGCAUUGGGCUCUGCGCUGGGCUCGAAGCCUACUUUAAAAGAAGAACAAAAGUGUGACUCUUCUGUGUGUCCCGAGGCCCUGCCCGCUGCCCAACACUCCCCUCCGGGACCUCCUCUCCAGCCCUUCCCCGCGGCCCAGCAGCGAUGCCCUCAUACCUGGAGAACUUGGCACAGCCGGUCCCUUUGCCCUGAACUUUCUGCCUGAAAAACAACCCAGUCUUCAGAAGCCAGCUCACAUAUCCUCUGAGAGGCUUCCCUCCCUCCCCCCUGCAGAGUGGAUAAUGUCCACUCUCAGACAACUACGUGCUGGAUUUCAUUUCAGAUCUCAGCUCCUACUCACGUUCCCUGUUGUUGAGGGACAGGCCUCCCGCCCAGCCCUUGUCUCACAGGUUGGCUCUUUCCACCUCUUUCUACCUCGCUCACAGAGCAUGCAGAUGAGUCUGUCUGGGGGCGUGAGGCUUAUUCUGCAGGAGAGACCUGGGGACACUACGAGGCAUUGGGGGCUGUGACCACCAGCUGGGGACAGUGAUGCCGAGGUCACGGGCUCCCUGCUCUGAGGACUGGUCCCCUUUGUCUGCGUCUGUGGCCACAGAAUGUGUCCUCAACUGGAGGAAUCCGUGGGAGGCCACAAGGGGCCUGGGUAGACAUGUCAAAGGAUUGGUUCUCUCUAGUAGAGAACGGGCCAUGUGCUUCCUGGAGAUGGGACCAGAGCAUUCUUGGAGUCGUUAUCAUCCUGUAAACAUAACAUGCCACAGUGUUUACACAAGCUGAGUUGACACCUUAUGGUGGCUGGAACCGACGAGGCCUCUAAGGAGGAAGUGGGGCAGGUAGCUAGGCUGUAAGCAGAGGGGGAGACCGCAGGUCAGAGAGGUUCAGUGACUGCCUCACUUGAGGUAGCACAGCUGGCCGGCGACAGGCUGUGACCGGAACCCAGAGCCUAGCUGUGCAUCAGUUUUCCAGAUCAGGGGCCCUGAGGCCUUGACUGCAAUUCUGAAAAUUCGAGGCAUCCAAGUGGGAAGUCGGCGCUUUUAAAGGAGUCGCUAUGAUCGCACCAGCAGCAAAUGGGUGAUUUUCAACAUCAGCAGUUUGAUUUGAUUAGUAGCUGGAGUCUGCUUGGUGGGAGCUGGCGAUUCUUCAGAAGACGCUACUGGGGGUCCUGCAAGGCUCAGUUUGUGGGCUUGGACUUGAGUUCUAUCUCCUGAGCCUGAUGCUUCUGGCUGGCAGGCUUCGGAGAUGAUCGGGAAGCCUGGGGAACCCUUGGUUAUUCAGUGGCAUCGCUGAGCAGGGCAGCUGGGUCCAGACCCACUCUUGAGACCUGAGGAUAUUUCUAGAACAUACUUUUAAUGGGGACCGAGGCUGGUUCCUCAGACCUACAGUGCUCCCCAUGGGCCUGGAGACCUCUGCUUAGCCACUGGUGGACGCCCCAGGGUUGGGAUUUGUGGGUAACGCCUCCUCCAAGGGCUCACAACCCCUCAUUCCAAACAUAGGAUCUGAGCAUCAAGUAAACUCUUCCCAAAAAGCCUCUGGGUACCUGGAGCUGAAGCUGACUACUUAUCAGGGCACUUAACAUGACCCCCUUCCCAACUGGGGCAAUCCCACCUCCCCGGCAGGGCCCUGAGUGCCCCCUCAGCUUUCUCGGUAGAGGACUUUCUAACAAAGCUUGUGGUCUAGGACAGACGCUUAGAAGAAGCCUGUCUGCCUAAGUCAGACCCAGGACAGCUUUCCCAAGGGAGGGGAGACUGCCUGCCCUUUCGUUUCCUACCUCUUUAGUUCCAGCUGCAUGGAACCCCCUUUCAAAAACAUCCCUGCCUUUUUUAAUUCUCUGGCACGAUUAGUCAGAAUUAAGUAUCUAGUUUGGUUUUUUUUUUUUUUUUUUCCCUACUCGCUUACCUGUUCUGCUGUUCUUUCAACAUUUUGGGUGUGCAUGUGGUAACAGUGGGAGGAACCCGGAUGCCCUGCUUUUUUCUGGAGUUGGUGAUUUUUUCCCCAAGAUUCACACCUACUUCCCCAACAUUCACCACCCCCUUCCGGUUAUACUAGAUCCGGAUUCUCCUCUGGGGAACCAUUCUCUCCCUCCAGCCAUUGCUAUGUGCGAUGAUUAAAAUGGCCUAUAUCCCCAGAUGCAGGAAUAGACAUGUUUUCUGUCAUUUGCAAUCAACUCUCCAAUCCAUUUGCCUUUUUAAAAAAAUGUUUUAGUUAUUUUCUGAGAGCGUGCACAGAGGGGAGGAGCAGAGAGAGGGGGACAGAGGAUCUGAAAUGGGCUCUGUGCUGAUAGCAGUGAACCCGAUGUGGGACUUGAACUCACGAGCCUCGAGAUAUGACCUGAGCCGAAGUUGGACGCCCAGCUGAGCCACCCGGGUGUCCCCCGUUCAAUUUGCCUUUAACAUCAUCUGAAUGGCAACAGAUUCCUUCAUGGGGCAGAGUUUUCAAGCCAGGAAUGUGCCUUUGAGGCUACCUGAUCUCAUACUUUCGUUCAGUCACUCAGCUAACAAAGCAUGGCUCAUAACUGGUCAGAACACAUCCCAAAUGCCCGAACUUUCUAAUCAGGAGUCAGACAGAAGGAAACGAGAGUUGGAAUCAAACCAAUGAGGAAAUCUGUUGAGGGGCCAUCCAAGUUCCUGACACUUCCCUUGGCUUUUCCUUGUCCUUCUGAGCGAUACUCACGUUUCAGGGCAAUUGCUUCCAGAAGCCGCCCCUGUGUGCCGGACACAGUUGCCUGACAGGUGGCAGAGCAGGCUGGGGCCGCAUGAGGUCUCAUACCCUCCCGUUGUCCCUCCUGCCUGUCCAUUAGCGCUGUGUCCUGUGUGAGCUGCACCCCCGUCCCUGCGCUUAAGUCUUUCCUCCCCAAAGCUGUCCCCUUUGACAUAUCAGACCUACCCUUCUCCCAAACUCCAGUCCAAACCCUGCCUCUGCCAGGAAGCUUCCAAGAUGGGAGCUAAUCUCCUUCCUCCUCUAACGGGGGUCCCUUCAGCCUUUCCCGAGUGACAGUAGGCACUUGUGUGCCACAGCACUAUCAUUCCUCUGUUGCCAAGAGGAGACUGAGGACUCAGUGGACACAGGAAGCUCUCUGUCAUCUCCGCUCCUGGCCCUGGCCCAUGACAGCGCCUCUGAGCAAACUCUGGGUGGCUGAAUGGAGUUGUGGAAAGGUCGAAUCCUUGCCCCAGAAGGGUCCUUCCCUCUUUGAGAUACGGUUCUCUGCACUUAACUGGGACUAAGGGAGGGCCCCUCCUCCAUUCUUCCUCUUAGGAAUCUCACGAGUUGGAAUUGGUCUCUGGAGUUUGCCUUAAGCCCCAUCAGCCUAGUCACCCCUUCAGCCCUGAACUCCUGCAUUCCAAGGGAGGGGGUCCUCAGGCCCAAGCUAUCCAGCUGAGUGGGGUUUACUCAGUCCCUUUUCUUAAAAAAGAAUCUGAUCAUAAUAAAAAUUACUGAUGAAUGAUAAAAGCUAAUGCUUGUUGAGUCUUUACUAAAUGUAUAUCAAACAUGCCACUUGACGGAUGAGGAAACUGAGGCAGGGGACUACAGAGUAACCUGCCCAAGAACACCCAUGGUUUGAAUUCAGGGCCCACACUCCUAGCCGUUCCUCACCCCCUGCCCCCUGCCCAGAUCACUCGGCCCUCCCCUCCAGCUUGUCCUUGGCUCCUCACCCCUCUCUGUUUGCCCAGGACCCCUGAUGGGGCAGCCCACACAGGGGUUUAGUAAAUGCUUAUGAAACAAGUGAAUGGAAUCAGGGAAUUCUAUCAGGUUAUCCCUAGGAGGGCCUCGAAGGCGUGAGAAGGAACAACGAAAGUGCCGAAAGCCCAGCUUCCAGGACCUUCUGUCACUCUCCACCACACCUAGGAAGAGGGAUGUUUCCGAAAAGUUCCUGGAUUUCAGAUUGACUCUCUUCACUGUUGACGUAAGAUGGAGGGCAUGGGUGCGGUUGCCUCUUGGCCAGACCCCGUGAGAGACCUCCAGGGAAAAACCACCGUGGCGGGCCGUGGCUUCUGAGGUUGUGCCUGAGGUGGAUGGAUGAGAGAGCAGGGAGGUCUGCCUGGGUCAGGAGGGUUUUGAUUUCCAGCAACAAAACCCAACCCACACUAGCUUAGCAACGGGGGAGAUUUAUUGGCUCAUGUGGCUGAGAAAUCAGGAAGUGGACUUGAGGCACGGUUUCAUCAAGGCUCUGGCCCCAUGCCUCUGCAAUUCCCUCUCAGGUCUGCUCCUACCCAUGGAGCUUCAUCCCCAGGCUAUCUUCCGGCAGCAUUGAGGGUGGCAGACCUCCUUCUUCUUCCGGGGGAAUGUUAGACACCGCCCCACCCCCAUCUCACAAGCGUUGUCUGAUCGGGUCUCACUUGACCCAGGACUGCCUCUCCGAGUGUCUGCUUCUAAUUUUUUUUAAAAUGUUUUUAUUUUAUUUUUGAGAGACAGAGAGAGUGAGACUGGGGGAGGGGCAGAGAGAGAGAGAGGGAGACACGGAAUCCGAAGCAGGCUCCAGGCUCCGAGCUGUCAGCGCGGAGCCCGACGCGGGGCUCGAACUCACGAGCCGUGAGGUUAUGACCUGAGCCGAAGUUGGACGCUCAACCGACUGAGCCACCCAGGUGCCAGCGAUAUUUUCAAACGAUAAUUCUGUUUUUAAUCUUUUGGGGGAAACUUCCUCAUUCUUCUUACGGCUACGGAGUACUCUGCUGUGUGGAUGUACUCUUGUUUAUUGGUUAUUAAAAACAGAGCUGCAAUCAACAGCCACAUCCCUCCGUCUUUUUGUAUUAUUUGCAGUGGAUCCGUAGGAUAGAUUCCUAGAAGUGGGAUUGCAGGAUCAACGGAUCAUGCAGUUUUAUUAGGUAUUGGCAAACUCCCUUCCGUAGGGACAGUCCCAUUUCGCAUUCACAUCGGCAAAGUGUGAGACUAUUUGUUUUCUCAGGCCGGGACAAAAGAGGAUUUUGUUAAACUUUUGGAUUUUGCCCAGCCCGAUCAGCCAGCAAUAGUUCCUUGGGGCAAUUUGCAUUUCUUUCACUAAGUGAGGUUGACCAUCUUUCCCUGUGGUUUGGAAACACUUGCCUUGCCUCUUCCGAAAACCAGUUAUAUUUUUAGUACAUUUUUCUCCCCGGUGGUUGGGCUUUUAACUUACACGAGGGGCUCUUUCUACGCUAAGAAUAUUAAUGCGUUCUCUGUGAUGCAAGUUGUGAAUCUUUUUUUUUUUUAACUAGUUGAUCAUUUGUCUUUUUCAUUUUACUUCCGUAUUUAUUUCAAUCUAAUUUAACUUUUUUUGCCACGCCAAACUUCAAUUCCUUGCAACUUAUUAAUCUUCCCUUGUAUUGCUUCUGGGUGUUGAGUCAGGAUUAAGAAAGCUUUGCUCGCUCCCAAGUUAUAGAAGAAUUUCCCGAUUGCCCCCUUGCACUUGGAUGGUGUCCUUUUACACUUAAAUGGCCAAUCCCUUUGGAAGGUAUUCUGGUAAAGGACAGGAACACCUCCAAUUGUUCCUGGUUCCCCAGGGCUCUCCAGUUACCUGAGCACUAACUGAAAUCACCCAUUCUUUCCCCCCACCCCAGAUUCCUGACCCUGCCUUUAUCUCACACAAGCUCUCCACAGGCAACGGGGGCCAUUUCUGGAUUUUUGCAUUCUGCCGUCUGGAAGAACACUUCCCGCUGCUCGGGGCACCUAAAAGGGAGACCCUGAAGGUCGCGGGCAGGGUGACGGGCACAGGAAGUGGAGGCCCGUCCUGCUCGCCUCUCUGGAGGGACACCUGAAUGAUGUCGUACCAGCUCUGCUCGCCGGACAGCGUCACUGAGAGGACCGACCCUGUGGAAUGCGACUUACAGUCAAGUAUCCCACCAUAUUAUUAUUGUUCAUGUGGCCCGAAUUUUGCAAACACUGCCCCCCCCCCCCCACCAAACAGCCACUCACAGCUUAGCCGCUCUGACCCCUGUACCUCCCUUAUUACCCUGAGGUGACCCUGACGCCCCAGUCUCGUAGAAUCAGACGUUGUUUAAGAGUUAAAGGGAGUCUAGAAGUCACGGUGUCCCUCUCGGUGUUGGCUGUGUCGGUUUAGGUGGAGAAGGGUGGCAGGUGUGGACCCCAGCUCUGUUAGGACUUAGCUUCGUGGGAAGCCGGGGAUCCCAAGGGAGCAUGUCCUGCCCCUCAGCUGCGUGCGGAGGGAGGAGUUGCCCGGGUUGUGUGGCUCUAAUCCAGUCUGCCCCACAUGCUGGCCUCGUCCAGAUCCGGGACCGGCUCUUCUGGAGGCUCGGCAUGGGUGGGGUGGGGGCGCCCACCACGAGAGGUACCCCCCUUUCUCUGCUGGGCUGCCUCAGAACUGAGCCGUGCCUUCUUUGAAUGAAGUGACCUCUGCCCGUUCCUCAGCCCCUGGGUAGUCACACCCACGUCCUCUGAGUACCCCCGGCUCUGACGCCUGCCCACCCCCCACUCUGUCCGUCUGUCUUCAGACUGGCCACCCAUUUCCUUUGCCUUUGCUCCAUCUGGCCUGCCUUCCCACCUCCUCUCUGUCGGUCCCCUCCCCAGCCUCUCACUCUCCUCCCUGCCAGAGUGGUGGUCAGGGCAGAGGCAGAAGGAGUCAUCUCCCUCGGGCAGGGUCUGGGUCUCUCUUUGUGCUGCCCACAGUGGCUGGUGGAGAAUGGCUUUUGAAGGGCCCGAAAGAGAAACCCUCCAGGACCUCCCUGAAAUGACAAAAGCAAGCCUGUGCCUUGGGAUAGGGGUCGAAUCAUCUGACCUAUCACUGAGGCCCUCGGACGUCUUCCUGACCAAGUAAGUAUACUAGACCGUCGUGAGCCACGCCGGUGCCCAGACGGCUCGGAGGCUGGAGGAAGGAAGCCAGCUUUGGGGCUGAGCUGAGCCACUGGGUGAGGAUGCCUGGGGGAGAAGGCCUCGGCAGGGAGCCUGCUGGGACGUUAACCGGUAACCUUGCCCGGCUCCGCAUCUCCCGGGAGAAGAGCGCAAGGCCCCUGCUCGCUGAGCUCGAAGCAGCAUGUGGGGCCCACGUUGCCAAAAAGGACUGUCUUGGUUGGUCAGUUUCCAAGGCAUUUGCAUCCAGAGGGAAGUGAGAGGGAGCAUCGCGCGCGGUCAGGAAGCUUUGUCACCCCCUACCCCCGGCACGCGGGAGCCAGCUGUCUGUACCAGUGCUCCCUGAGGCCCUGAAAAGAGAACACGAGGCUGUCCUCUGUCCUUCUCAAGGACCUAGCUCGCCGUCCGGAAGAGGAGAGGCUACCCCAGCAAAGAGCUCUCUCCUUUGUCACAAUGAGCCUCGAUGUGAACGUGUACGAAGGUCAGGCAGAUAUAGGCGAGUUCUUGCUUUCAUCACGAUCCCUACGAGGAACCAGACGGAAGGGAAAACAAUCUCGAGAGGCUCCCCAGAGAUCUCCCUGGAUCUCCCAGUCUGGACAUAUUUGAUGUCCCUCAGGACAUGCUGCUCCCCCUGCCUGGAUGCCCUUGCCCCAAAUCUUUGCUGGACUGGCCUCUUGAUGCUGAUGGCUGUGCUCAAGGGUCAGCUCCUAGAGGCCUUCUCUGACCCCUAUCCAAAGUGGCCUAUCCCCCUAGGACUCAGUCUCUCUCUAAAUAACUGCUGUUUCUUCCUUACAGUAGUCAGUAUUAUUUCUGUUUAAUAGACUUACGUCCCUUUUCCAGCCUCCACUGACAGGAACGCGAACUCUCGGGGAGCCAGGCUGCUCCGUGGUGAUCAUCGCCGUAUCCCGGUGCCUGGAGGGGUGCCUGGCACCUGACAGAGCGUGAGCAGGGGAGGAGCAGACAGAGAGGGAGACCCAGAAUCCGAAGCAGGCUCCAGGCUCCAAGAUGUCAGCCCAGAGCCCGAUGCGGGGCUCGAGCCCACAAACCGUGAGAUCGUGACCUGAGCCGAAGUCAGAUGUUUAACCGACUGAGCCACCAGGUGCCCCUCGGAGCCUCUUCUUUUUGGAAGGCUUGUGGGGGACUGAGAGGAAGGGCAGCUGAGGUAAAGUAUGGGGGCCACCAGCUUCCCCAGGGAAAGGGAUUUCUAGGCCAAGACCUUGUGGAGUCUGUUUGUGUCCAUCUGGCGUGGUGAAAAGAAAGGAAGCAAUUCUCAGCGUGUGUCUACCCCUGCACGAUAAAAGGAAGGAGCUAUUGAUACACAGCACCUCGGAUGAAUCACAAAGGCCUCAGGCGGAGUGAAAGCAGCCAGUCUCCAAAGGGCCCCCUGGAUCAUUGAAGUGGAGACGUCCCGUUGGUGGUUGAUUUCGACAUUCUGGAACUCAGAGAAGGCUGACUUAGCAGUGCAGGCGUGGGGGUCACCGGCAUGUGAAUGGGGCUGAAGAGCCUGGGAGAUGGACACAUCUGACUGGGAAGAACUAGAAGGAGACUCAGAGAAGGACCAAGGCAGAAGCCCAGAGCCCGCACACCUAAACGCAGUCACUCACACACCGCCCUCACUAUUUAUUUGCCACAUCAGUACACGCCCCCUCUUGUUUUCUAGUAAAUAGAAAGUUCUUGAAGUUCUCCUACUUUUUAAUGUAAUGAGUUUAUUUCAAAAGGAAAUUUGUACAUAAUGGGUGAAAAAAAAUCAACGUCAGAGCCGUGAAGGGCAUUGACGAUAUAAACACAGCGAAAACAAAACAAUACCACACAAUUCUAGCUAGGUAAAGGACAUCUGCAAAUGUUAGUCCUGUGUUCAAGACGGAGCCGCCCCCAAUUGAGCCCUGGUCCCAGAAGAAGCGAGGAUUGAGAGAGAGUCAAAAAGGAAGUAACUUUGUUAGUGACACUUAAAAUCAGCUCUCUGGACACCGGCGGGAGUCACGCUCUUUGUUUAAAGCAGAGGCCCUCAACCUUUCUCCGUGAAGGGCCAAAUAAUAAAUAUUUAGACUUCGAGGGCCAUUUGCAUGCCUGCUACAUACCCCCCCCGCCACCGCCCUUGUCUUGAAAUCCUUUAGAACCAUUCUUAGUCCUGGUUGGAUUAAAAACAGGCCCAGGGCUGGGUCUGGCCCACGGGCUGUAGUUUGCCACCUCCUGAUUUAAAGGAUGGUGAGAAGAAGGCCAGACCCCCAACGAGACAAGUGUUUAUGGUGUCACACGGGGUUCCUAGGCACUCAACUCCGGACCACGCAGUAGCGUCCCCACCCCAGCCAUCAAAGGCCCUUCUCUGCCUCUGUUUUUAGGCUCCCACGCAGGCAAUUCCUUGUCCCCCAGGAGCCUCGUGGGAGAUUUGGCCACACCUCCCUUGUGGACGGUUUCACAAGAUCAGAGCCUCUCAGAACUGGUUGUUCAGGGAGCCGCUUUGGGGCUAGGUCAGCAUUUCAUUACCAAUACUUCCCUCUGGACUCUGUGGGUCCCUCUU